This 250-nucleotide ribosomal RNA is filed under the name uncultured bacterium. RNAcentral describes it as "partial small subunit ribosomal RNA". It matches the Rfam family "Bacterial small subunit ribosomal RNA", at positions 26 to 286 of the family's 1533-position model. The record is from RNAcentral.
AGGAUUAACGCUGGCGGCGUGCCUAACACAUGCAAGUCGAACGAGGUAGCAAUACCUAGUGGCAGACGGGUGAGUAACGCGUGGUCAACCUACCGUUGAGUGGGGGAUAACUAGCCGAAAGGUUAGCUAAUACCGCAUACGAGUCCCGGGGGGAUCCCUGGGCCUUAAAAGGAGCAAUCCGCUCGAUGACGGGACCGCGUCCCAUUAGCUAGAUGGUGGGGUAAUGGCCUACCAAGGCGACGACGGGUAG